This 249-nucleotide ribosomal RNA is filed under the name uncultured bacterium. RNAcentral describes it as "partial 16S ribosomal RNA". It matches the Rfam family "Bacterial small subunit ribosomal RNA", at positions 333 to 599 of the family's 1533-position model. The record is from RNAcentral.
AAGCGCCUACGGGACGCAGCAGUGGGGAAUAUUGCACAAUGGGGGAAACCCUGAUGCAGCGACGCCGCGUGAGUGAAGAAGUAAUUCGUUAUGUAAAGCUCUAUCAGCAGGGAAGAAAAUGACGGUACCUGAGUAAGAAGCCCCGGCUAACUACGUGCCAGCAGCCGCGGUAAUACGUAGGGGGCAAGCGUUAUCCGGAAUUACUGGGUGUAAAGGGAGCGCAGGCGGGAAGCCAAGUCAGCUGUGAAA